This 1324-nucleotide ribosomal RNA is filed under the name metagenome. RNAcentral describes it as "bacterial LSU rRNA". It matches the Rfam family "Bacterial large subunit ribosomal RNA", at positions 1561 to 2925 of the family's 2925-position model. The record is from RNAcentral.
AGUGGAUGGGGAGCAACCUAGUUGUGCGUGUGUAAAGGUAGUGCCAAGAAAAGCGAUGAUCAUGUUGAAAAUCAAUUCCCGGUACCCGAAACCGACACAGGUGGGCAAGUAGAGAAUACUAAGGGGCGCGAGGUAACUCUCUCCAAGGAACUCGGCAAAAUGACCCCGUAACUUAGGGAGAAGGGGUGCCACCGAGAGGUGGUCGCAGUGAAGAGGCCCAGGCGACUGUUUAGCAAAAACAUAGGUCUCUGCAAACUCGAAAGAGGAGGUAUAGGGGCUGACGCCUGCCCAGUGCUGGAAGGCUAAAGAAGUUGGUCAGUUUUAGGAUGAAGCUAGCGACUGAAGCCCCGGUGAACGGCGGCCGUAACUAUAACGGUCCUAAGGUAGCGAAAUUCCUUGUCGGGUAAGUUCCGACCCGCACGAAAGGCGUAACGAUCUGGGCGCUGUCUCGGAGAGAGGCUCGGCGAAAUAGGAUUGUCUGUGAAGAUACGGACUACCUGCAUUUGGACAGAAAGACCCUAUGAAGCUUUACUAUAGCUUGGAAUUGUGUUCGGGCUUCCUGUGCGCAGGAUAGGUGGGAGGCGUAGAAGGUAUUCUUGUGGGGAUACUGGAGCCAACGGUGAGAUACCACUCUCAGGAGGCUAGAAUUCUAACUUAAUUAAGGACAGUUUCAGGUGGGUAGUUUGACUGGGGCGGUCGCCUCCAAAAAGGUAACGGAGGCGUACAAAGGUUCCCUCAGACUGGUUGGAAAUCAGUCGAAGAGUGCAAAGGCAGAAGGGAGCUUGACUGCGAGAAGUACAGUUCGAGCAGGGUGGAAACACGGUCUUAGUGAUCCGACGGUGCUGUGUGGAAGGGCCGUCGCUCAACGGAUAAAAGUUACUCUAGGAUAACAGGCUGAUCUCCCCCAAGAGUUCACAUCGACGGGGAGGUUUGGCACCUCGAUGUCGGCUCAUCGCAACCUGGGGCGGAAGUACGUCCCAAGGGUUGGGCUGUUCGCCCAUUAAAGCGGUACGUGAGCUGGGUUCAGAACGUCGUGAGACAGUUCGGUCCAUAUCCGAUGUAGGCGUGAGAAUAUUGAGAGGAGCCUUCCUUAGUACGAGAGGACCGGGAAGGACGCACCGCUGGUGUACCUGUUAUGAUGCCAAUUGUAAACGCAGGGUAGCCAAGUGCGGAGAGGAUAACCGCUGAAAGCAUCUAAGUGGGAAGCCCACCUCAAGAUGAGUAUUCUAGUGUAAGGUCACGGGAAGACGACCCGUAAAUAGGCACGAGGUGGAAGUGCAGAGAUGUAUGAAGCCGAAGUGUACUAGUAGACCGUCGGCUUGAC